This 663-nucleotide ribosomal RNA is filed under the name Triticum aestivum (bread wheat). Its description in RNAcentral is "partial small subunit ribosomal RNA". Lineage: Eukaryota; Viridiplantae; Streptophyta; Magnoliopsida; Poales; Poaceae. The record is from RNAcentral.
AUGGUCAGCGAGCAGACGCCGGUGGCCACCGAGCCGGAGCUGGAGAGCGGCGACGCGGCGCCGGAGGUCAUCAAGGCCGAGGAGCCCGCAGAGGACGGCGCGCCCGUCGUCGAGGACGUCAAGGAGGGCGACGGUGACGAGGAGGAGGAGGAGGACGAGGAUGACGACGAGGACGACGAGGAUGAAGACGGCGAGCUGGGUGUGGCCGGGAGCGAGGGGUCGAAGCAGAGCCGGAGCGAGAAGAAGAGCCGCAAGGCCAUGAUGAAGCUGGGGAUGAAGCCCGUCACCGGCGUCAGCAGGAUCACCAUCAAGAGAGCCAAGAACAUCCUGUUCGUGGUGUCGAAGCCGGACGUGUUCAAGAGCCCGACGUCGGAGACGUACGUGAUCUUCGGGGAGGCCAAGAUCGAGGACCUGAGCUCGCAGCUGCAGGCGCAGGCGGCGCAGCAGUUCAGGAUGCAGGACCUGAGCAAGGCGAUGAGGCCCGACGCGGCGGCGGCCGGGGCGCCCGCCGACGAGGAGGAGGUGGUGGACGAGACCGGCAUCGAGGCCCGCGACAUCGACCUCGUCAUGACGCAGGCCAGCGUCUCCCGCGCCAAGGCCGUCAAGGCCCUCAAGGCGCACGACGGCGACAUCGUCAGCGCCAUCAUGGAGCUCACCGCCUAG